AUUGAACGCUGGCGGCAUGCUUUACACAUGCAAGUCGAACGGCAACAGGCCGUAAGGUCCUGUCGAGUGGCGCACGGGGGUGUAUAGCAUCGGAACGCGUCCCGUCCAGGGGGGUAACUAGUCGAAAGAGUAGCUAAUACCCCAUACGAUCUAUGGAUGAAAGAGGGGGACAGCAAAGCACCGCGCGAUUGUAGCGGCCGAUGUCAGAUUAGAUAGUUGGUGGGGUAAAGGCUCACCAAGCCGACGAUCUGUAGCUGGUCUGAGAGGAUGAUCAGCCACACUGGAACUGAGACACGGCCCAGACUCCUACGGGAGGCAGCAGUGGGGAAUUUUGGACAAUGGGCGCAAGCCUGAUCCAGCCAUGCCGCGUGAAUGAAGAAGGCCUUCGGGUUGUAAAGUUCUUUUGUACGGAACGAAACGGCUCUGGUUAAUACCCGGGGUUAAUGACGGUACCGGAAGAAGAAGCACCGGCUAACUACGUG
This 482-nucleotide ribosomal RNA is filed under the name uncultured bacterium. RNAcentral's name for it is "partial 16S ribosomal RNA". It matches the Rfam family "Bacterial small subunit ribosomal RNA", at positions 30 to 507 of the family's 1533-position model. The record is from RNAcentral.